Molecule: long non-coding RNA, 828 nt
Filed under: Nicotiana benthamiana
Lineage: Eukaryota; Viridiplantae; Streptophyta; Magnoliopsida; Solanales; Solanaceae
Description: long non-coding RNA (NBEN_LNC005127)
Source: RNAcentral
CCAUAUUUAUUAAUUAUUAAUUAAUACUAAUCUUUAUAUUAUAUUUUUAAUAGUGUACUAUUAAUGAAAGUAGUUCAUAGCUAAUAGCCCAUAUUAAAACUCCCAACUAGUCUAUGUGGGCCAACUUGUAAGGUUGCUGACCUCUCGUGGGCUCAAAGAUGGAGCCCAAGUAUUCACGGAAGCCAAUCUUCAUAAUUCAAAGCUACUAAUAAACCUCACCUGGGUCACAACUCACAAGCUCAAACACAUUCAAGGAUUACCACAGUAAACGGAUUACCUCAAAUGUCCAGGAAAAGAGAGUUGGACCAAAUAAAGAGGGAUGAAGCUCCAGCAACUUAUCACAGCAAAAUCGCCCUUAUUGAACCCAGAAAAAGACAAAUUGUGUUUGUCUUCUUUAGAAGCAGCAUUUUCAAUUAAAAGGUGGUCAAUUCGCGCAGCACGGAAGGUGGAACUCUUGGAACAAAUUGUUCUUCCAUGACUAAAUCAGAAAUUGGUGGAGUGAAAUCCAGGAAGCGCAAAUUGGCACCGUUAAGGCUUAUUUAUUGGACAAACGUGCAGCCUAGAACUGAUAUUUUACCUUUGUUGAAGCCCAUAACGGGCGUUUGAUGUUAAAGCUCCGAAAUGGCGUUCCAACGCCGAAGAUGGGGAAGUUAAUCGGAAGGGGUGAGGAGAUGGGUUGUGAGAGCGGAGGAAGUCGGAAGUAUGCCUGACCCAAUUCAAAAAUAAGACAACUGUUAUAAAUAGAACUCUAUUUAAGGUGAAUGUAGUUUUACUUUGAGGCUAAGUCUUUUCUAUGCCUAUAAAUAGAGGGGUCUUACCCUAUUGUAA